GGGGGGAGGGGUUGCGUGAGGCACUGCGUUGAGAGUGCGAUUUGGCGGCACCGCCGCUCCACACGAAAGCUUUGGUGAAGAUUCAGCAGGCACAUGGCAUCAAAGUAUCAAAGGAAUAAAACGUUAAUACUUGGAAAUGUUGGGGUACUUUAAAAAGUAUUUAUCCCAAUUACUACUUUCAGAAAACACGUUCACUAAGGAUUCAGCAUUUCCUGUUCCUUCAGCUGAUUGGUCUUCUAUAACAGCAGAGGACAAACACAAAUGAGCAACUUAAAGAAAAAAACAGAGUUAAUGGAUACUAGAAUUAAGUGAAAGCAGGAGAAAAUGAGGGAGAUACGUCAAAUGUAAUUUUCUAACUUGUACACUGGCCAGCUAUGCUGGCAGAGGAAGAUGUCUGCUUUGUGCUUCCAGUACUGAAAAUGAAGCAGUGUGCACAUAAAAGUUAUUGGCAGCUGUGCUGAGGCCAGAGGUCGUGCAGCUCUUCAGGCAAGAUUUUAUUUACCUUUUAACCUCCCCAUUUCACCAACUUGGUCAGAGAUACGAUACUCAACAGCAGCAGGAGCUUGCACACAACAGUUUGAGUCACCUAUAGCUGAACCUAAAUAAAAUAGGUAUGUGAAAGCAAUUACAGUAUUUUAUUGUUACAGCUCCACCUUCAUCAUCAGGACAGCGUUAGAAUUUUACAUUGAGACACAGGGAAACCGCUAAAAGCUCUCUCCACUUUCCAACGUUUAAGUGUACACUGGAGUUUCCAUUGCUCCUAGGGCAGCCACACUUUCACAUGCAGCAUUUGUUUGUGUACUUCUUUUAUGUCACCCAGCCCCAUUGCAAUAGAAUAAUCAGGCUUGGAAGAAAAAAGAGGGCUGGGACACAAAUCUCCCAUCCCCUCUAUUCCUCAGGUACUGUGAAUAUGUAUGUGCCCUUGCAAUUAGGGAAUAAGGAAGCUGUGCAUAUCUGGUAAUACCACACAAGCAGGACUAAUGCUAUUGCUGGAAAAGCUCCCACCUGUCUUGUCUAUUUCAAACUCCUACUAAGAUAACGGGAAUAUGUGAUUUUUUUCCUCCCAAUUAUUACUAUUUUUUUUCUGGGAGUUGUAGCUGUGUAGUAAUUUAAGAUGGCAGGUUUCCAAGGCUUUGCAGUGAUUCUAAUUAAUUGGGUAUGUUGUUUAAUUUUUAUUUUAACUUGGGCUUUUUCCUCAUAUUCAAAAGGGCUCCCAUUAUCCUUUAUUAUGAAGGAGAUCAAAGCAAGCAGAAUGGCUGCCAUUUUGCCUUAGUCUGUGGAAGUAACACUGUUGUCUGUGAAAAGGUGCACUGCUGUCCACACCUGUCAGGACUGAAAGCAAUACUACAGGUGGGGUAGCCAUGCUUCUUUGGUCUGGUGAGCUGGGCACAGACUGCGAGCAGCACUGAUGGUCUGCAAGAAGAAUGUGUGAGAAGACAAGGAGCCGGGUCUGGCAAACGCAGUGAAGUGUAACUGGAGAAUGGGGUAAAAGAGUGCAGACUGAAGAGCAGAAAAUCUGGAGGUGGAAACAUCCGCUUCCUUUGCUGGUGUGGAAAAUCAUGCCUCCUUCAGGCAGACUGAGGAGAGAGAACCCACAAAAAUUGCCAUAGUCAGGGAGUUGGAGCUACAAUUGGACUGCUUAAAUUCUCCCUCAUGUUGGAUGGUGGUUACACUAUUGCCCCUUUCACAGGCUUCCUUUCCUCCACAACUUCUCAAAACUGGUGUUUGAUGGGGAAGCAUAACAUCUGCAUUUUUUAUUUUAAAACAAGUGCAUAACAAGACUGCUUAUUGCCACCUGCAGAGGAACCAGAGUCAAUUACAGUAGAACUUGAGGACAGAAAGUGAGAAUAAUGCAGGAAGGGAGCAUCAUAAGAAAGCAAGCUAGAGGAGGAAAACAACUGCAAGACUGCACAACAUUAGGACCAGUAAAAAAAGAUUAAAAAAAAAAAAAAAAAAAAAAAGAGUGCCAAGGAGUGGGGAGCUGCAUGGGAGGCUUCUUAGAUCCAGGGCUGCACACAGAAGGUGUAUUUCAUCUCUCCUGCACAGAUAUAUGGGCACACACAGCCUUUCCUGGCUCUCACCAGCCACAGCCUCCUCCUUACCCUUACAUCAGCUGCAGGGAGGCCCUAGCAAAGAUCCCAAAGAAAGAGCUGCAUAGAGAAUGGAGGGAUGAUGGCAAUGGUGACAGCAGGAAGAGCUGCACAUGGAAAUGGACCAGCAGCAGCCAUUUCCAUGACUUGGCCUCCAGUGGUUUCUGGAACAGAGAACAGCAAAUCUGUGAUUCUGUGAACAGCAAAGCUGGGUGGGCCAGGCUGUUUCUUCUUUAAUACUCAAAUCUGACUGCUUACAAACCCUGUGACUCACUCACUGUCCCAGCUCGUCUUCUGCAAUGGUUGGCAGCAAAGUUAAAUCCAGGUUCACAAGUACAGCUUUGUGUAACCCCCUUGAUGGAAGCCUGCCAGCAGCUUCCCCACGGCUGAGCAGCUGUUGGGAGCUUGGGGUGGAGCUGCAUGGGCAAAGCCCACAAGCUGACUCCUGGGAGCAAUCACAGGACCUCUCAGUAGCAGAUGAUCUCUUCAGAACCACUGAUUAAUCACACAAAAGCAGAAGCAGAGGAAGACUCAAUUGCUCAGGGGCUAAUGAAACAUUUGGCCCACUGGGCUAUUUUCUUUUUGCACAGGGAAGGAAUGAUGAUGAGGAUUCUAGUGGAUUUCAUCACGCACUGACAACUGUUAGCAAAACAGCAUGUUCUCCCCCACACAUGUGAAACAACAAGCAAAAACCCCAGGACUUCCCUUUUAAUCCCGCACUAAACUCCCAGACCACUAAAAGAAAGUCAAAAGUUUGUUGGGUUUUCCUUCCUUCCUUCCUUCCUUUCCUUCUUUCCCCUGAAAGAGAGCAAGAUGUUCUGUGGUUGCUGUUCUAGAUUCAUUGACUGUGCUAAAGAAAGCACGUUCCCUCUCAAGAGGCCUGAGCAGCUCAGUUCUACUGUUUGUUUCUGCUGCUUGGACUGCACUUGAUUGCUGCUGCUGGCUUACUUCCUGUCACUGGGAGCCUUGCAGAGCUUAAACCAGCCCUGGCAGCAAUUCUUCCUUACAGUCUUGCUUCCACAGGCUAACCGUAGCACAGAGAGCAAUGAAAAUACGCAUUAAGGCUACUCUUAACAAGAUGUUCCAGACCAGGGCUGCGUUCAAGAAGACAUCUGUGUUUAUCAAGAGAGUCCAACUCCCGAGUCCUUCUAUUGCAGCAAUUCUUUUGAAGCAGCAUUCAAUGCAAAGACCCUACAGCGUUUUGAAGGAUUUCCUCACGUUAGCAACACUGCUGUGCACAGUUCCAACUGCAAAAAGCCAGACCUGGGCUGCUGUCACUCUGCGCAGUAGAAUACAACUGACAUUCCUAUCCCACACACUCUGCUGGCAUGCAACACGUGGCCUUUGUUUUAAUGCUAAAGGAUCCAGCUCUAGAGUAAGCAACCUGUUUUCAUGUGCUCAUUUUUUCCCCCAUACUCCAUCUUACAUCAUUGUGUAGCUAAUCCAGGGAAGCUCAAACUGAUGCGUGCCACCAGCUAUAUCAGGGGGAUGCAUGCACAUCUUGCUGAAGCAUUCCUAUUCCUUUGUCACCCCGUGAUGUCAUGUUUAUUUAAUUUACGUCUUAGGCCAUGAUUUGGGAGUAUUGCUUUGGGUACAAUAAAAAGGCACUACGCCUGCCACAGGACCGGGGCUAGAGAGCCUUGAUAUUAGCGCUCAGUCCUGUGUAUUGGUCAGAUUGCAGAAAACAAUAUCCUUUCUGUAACAGCCACUCCAGUUUGGUAUAUCAAAAAGCUGAAGAAACACGGUGUUCAUUCAGCCCACAGUGGGCAUGUGCCAAAUCUACCCCCGAAUUCACACAAAAUGCUGAUCUGGCCGCAGCCCACUGGCACAGCGUACUUUUCUCACUUGCACAAUUGAAAUAAAAUUCAGUAUUCAGCAGAAGCUUUUUUUCCCCCCUUUAAAUAAAUCAAAAAUGCAAAAGACCCUUGAAAACAGACAGUACUUUAAAGGUGUACUUUACUUUGACCCGACUUCCCCAUUGGUUGCCUAUGGUACCAUAUGCCUUACAUUAAAAUCAGCUCUCAUUUUUAUAUUCUGUGUUUCAGGCCCUCUGUAAUGGCUACAUUCCUCAUUAUUCAUGUUUUAGUUUGGUUCUAUGCUCCAUCAGCUUUUCUGCACAAAUUCCAUGCAUAACCAGCAAAAUACAAGCAACGAUUUCACACAUCCACUGUCAUUAAAUCUUGGCUUUCAGCACACCCUAUCAUCUAGAAGUUGCCUGUCUCAGGUAGAAAGCAAGAGAAGGGCUGUUUCAUGCUCACAGUUCUCCUACGAGGUGACAUAUCUAAUAUUUCAGAAAAAGAAAACAAAACCUGACAAGGCAGAUGAAAAGGCAGGAGCUGGUAUCGCAGCUAGGCAGACUGAAAAUGGAGAGAGAAACAGGGUUAGGAACAUCAUAAAAACUUCUGACAUUGGCACAUCAUGGUAUGAAUUUAGGAUACACCAGCAAUUCUGCCCUGAGUUCCUAUGCAGAUGCUUAUGAGCUAUUCUUCCUUACUUUCAUGUCGUGUUGAAAAGCAUGGCACAUUUGCCCGCAUUGUGAGUGAGACUGGAGAAGCUUAAAUGCCAUAUAUUAAGGUGUGGUUUUUUACAUCCUCACUCCCCAGGUAUGCGUGUCCAGACUUGCAGCAGAAAUCAAUAAGAAGUGUUGUGACAAGAGUCAGGUAAACAUCUGUCAGUCCUGCUACGUGCUGCAGUUCCAUCUACAUCCAUAGGCAUGCAGACAAGAUCUGGAAGAAAAUAUCUGAAAGCUCUGAAGAACAGCAUAUCCUUUUAAAAAAGCAACAGGAAGAGUCUCCAGAUUGGAAACCUCUCUGAAAAGAACCGACUACAGUGGCCAAUGCAGGGUGGCGCCGUCUCUAGCACAGUUGAACAGUUCACUGGCAGGGACUUGUUCUGUUCUCCUGGGAGCAGUUUGUACUCUACGCUACCUUCUCUCUUAUCUUACUCCAAUUUCUACAGAUGCCAAACAGAUUACAGAGAGGAGGAUAAGAAAAUGAAUGACAUGAGAACAAGACUCACAAGCCAUUUUUUACAUAAGAAGAAUGUAGCUCUGCCUUAUGCAAGAGCAACCCACCUGUAUGAUCCAGUGGCCACCUUUUCACCAUCUACCAUCAGGAAUCGAGAUGCCAGUGUACCUCUGAUCUUCCCUGAUUGCAUGUAGAACCCAACUCCUGUCACAGAACGGAUGCGGAUGUUCUAACCAGGAAGUAAAAAACACAAAAUUUCACAAUAAAUAGGGCAGAGAAUUAGGUAAUUGCCAACUCCAAGUCUUAACACGUCACUCACAUUAUCUCAACUUCUGGGACUACAGCUCAUCAUUAGACACCAGAAAGCAGAAGGGCUGCAGAAAGGAAAGCAGACUGCUGAAAACUCUGUUGUUAUCAUCUUUCAGUACAAGUCACUCCUAUGCAUCAGUUUAGAACCCUGACCAAUAAGUCAGCAUCUUUGUAACUCUGUCUGCUGUCUCCAGCUAUUCAUCUUAGCCCACUGACAAGACAAUGCUUUCCAAAUGAAAUAAUCCGCCAUCUCUAGUCCUGUGCUGUAGAUCAGAAAGCCCAACCCCUUUCAGAGGAAUGAAGCUCUGAGUCACAUCUGUACUCUCUGAAUCCUAAUCCCUAUUCCAUAGCAUCAGCGAGCUCUUUUCCAGACAGUGUUACCAGAACCACAAAACCAAGGAACUUUGCAAGGCCUGUGCAAUCAGAAAGACUCAGAAAGUAUUGUAUGAGGCUUAAAUUAGGUUAUUUUAGGCUUGUGUUCUGAUCCCAAUAACAUAUAGUUUGAUAAAACUGGGCAAAUUAUAGGACUAGGUAAUUUAAUUAUUACAGAAGGGGUGAGGAAAUAGUUAUACCAUUCAAAACAUACACAGAUGUUUCCUGCCUGUUACAACAAAGGAAUCCUGACACCAUUUUGCUAAGAACACCAAACAGUUACAAUGUCUACCUACAUUCAUCUCUGUUCAAUGGAGAGUGAAAAACACAGAAUUUUAUUCUGAAUAAAAGAUGUAGGAUAAGUGUCUCUGCUGAUGUCCCAAAGAGAUCAGCAAAGAAGUAUUUCUGCAGAUAGAGAAAGCAAAACUUUUUAUGAAAUAUACUGAAGUAGUUGGAAGAAGGUAUUAUCUCUCCUCAAACCUCCUGUCUCACACCCUUUUAGCCACUGCACCUACAAAUAAUAACACAAAGCAGUACCAGAGACAGAGAAAAAAAACUGAUUUCAGGUUACCUGAUUUUCUAUAACAGACUUAUGCAUGCACAUAAUAAUAAAAAAAAAAACCAUAUUUGCACGUUAGACUGUGAGUUACUCUGCUCAGACCAAUGCUGAACUCCAUGGAUCCUGGCUGCUCGAGGAUGAAUUGCCAGACAGGUGUACAUACAUAUUACCUAACAUUAAAAAAAAAAACCCCAACACUCAAAAGCACUCACUGCCAGCAAAGUUUGGAGCAAAUUAUCUUGUCAAUCUGACAUACAAAUUUAGACCAUUUUCUUUAUACCAUCUGUUUCUCUUAAGAAUUCUUUUAACAAUGAAAAGCUAAAAGGUAUUGUGAUCUGGAGUAAUAAAUAUAGGGUUAGGAGUCAGACAGUCUCACGUGUAAUCACAGUUCUGGCAGUAUUCCCUGUUAUGUUCUGUGAAAGUCAAUUCACCUUUGCCUCAUUCUUCCCCCAUCUGCAGAACAGGAGAAUCAUGAGGAUUUGGCUAACACUAGCACAGCCUCAGGUCCCACAAAGAUCUAAGUACUAUUAUUACGAACCUAAUUGACAGCUUAAAUAUCGAUAGGCUGUAGAAAUCAUCAUGCAGGAAUGAGUGAUUAUAAGAAUGUGGAUUUCUGUGAAAAAACAGUUUUCUGAAUAUAACUCUUACCUUUUGAAUCUGUUCCUAUUUUCUUCAGUAAAAUACAGCAGUGGCAGUACAAAUUCUGACUAACAGUAACUGAUGAUACUACUAUUUUGCAUUCAUCUACUGCUUGAUCUGUCUGCAGUCCUGUGUGGGCACUAGCUAAUUAAUCCUCCUAACACCAAUGACAGUAUUAUCACCCUGUUUUAAAGAUGAGAAACCUGAGAGACAAAAACGAUGAAGCGACUUGCCCAAGGCCUAGCUAGCAGUGAGUCAUUUGUGUGGGAUGCUGAAUGCAGGUUGGGUAGAGCACAGGAGAAAGGCUGCCCUUUCCAGUAUUUAGAAUAACAUUUGUAGAUGACUGGCUGGCCGCCUAAAAUGAUUGUCUUUUUUCAUUGCUGAAUAAAGCUGGAUUUGGAAUUUGCCAAAUCAUAGAAUCUUGACUGCAGGUGUCAAUGAGGACAUCUGUCCUUCAAAUCAGCCGACAGCUCUGAAAUGUCAUAUUCCUUUCUGAAUCGAGGAGGAUCAGCCUGUGUGAGCAGAAUGUUUCUUAGCAUGUAACAAGUGUGGAUUUUAUUGUUUGUAUGUUAUAUCACCUUCUUUAGGAAGAGAGAAAGCACAUUUGAAUUUCUGCAGUAACUGAGCUAUGCUUAACACUGAGAAAGGCACAGAGGGGAUAGAGCCAAACAGCUGAACACAUAAACCUCCUUGAACAAAGUAGGCACAGGAGUGUAUAAAUGCAUCUUGAAAUGCAGAAAAUAAGCACAAAGUCAUAUAAACAUCAAGUCACUUAAUAGGUUAUUUGUAUAAUGUUUCCUAUUUUGAAGGAUCUUGGAGCACUUGAAGACUAAUAUAUCAAGCUGUACAGAGAAAGAACAAGCCUGGGUUCAUGUACUGAAGAUUACACAACAACAGAAGUGGGAAGACAAAUAUAAACGAGAAGAAUCAAUUCACUUUUCCUCCUGAAGGAGUUAUUCUCCGCAGCAUUCUGAAGGCUAUGAAUGAAGGAAAUUGCUGUUCUCGCCAUCACCAGGAACCAUCAGCUUGGCAGGUGACUGCAUUCACCAGGAAUGAGGUAACACAGGCAGACCAUGACAGUGGCCAUUGGGCCCAGCUGGCUGCUAGCCAGCCCGCUCCCAACCCACCAAAAGAGCAGCUCAGUGACUCCCAGGAAGCCCAAAAAGCAGGAGUUUCACCACCCUCACUCUAUCAACACUUGUUUCUGAGAAGUUGGGAAAACCCAGCCAUGUACAACCCCCUCCUGACCUAUCUGAAUGCUAACUACUUCUUCGUGCUGAACCCUAUUUGGUCUACUGCCUAUCAAGAUGUCAUGAUGGGAAGAUAAGAGACCUUCUGGACCAGAGGAAGCCACACACACAAAACCAAAGGAAUACAGAGGAAACAUUAGUGGGAAGGCCAGAGAACUAAAAUGAUGACAUGAGCAAUUAACUUUGCUCCAGAACAUCAGCACUCAGUGCCAGCACAUCCUGCGUGACCUGGAAUCACCAUCCCUGGAGGUGUUCAAGAAAAGAGAUGCUGCACUGGGUGACAUAGUCUAGAGUGGUCACAGGCAUGGACUGAUGGUUGGACUCAGUGAUCUUAGUGGUCUUUCCAAUUUUAAUGAUUCUAUGAUCUCCCCUCUGCCAUGGAGACAGGAUGCUGUGCCGCAGCCCCACACACUACUCCCCAUGCACUCCUCACACAGAAGAGGCUCCUAUGACUUGCUGCGUUCAGAGGGUUCUGCUUCAGAGGUUCAGAUCCUCAAGCAUAUUUAGGCAUUGGAUUUCCCACUUAGGCAAGGGAGGUCCACCAUAACUAACACUGUAACUAUGACUCCUCAUUAUUUCAUUGCCCUCCAUUCAGCAUGGCACUGAGGCUCUUGUGGAACUGGGAAUUACAAUUCAAUGAACACCAUCCUCUUGCCUCUUCAGCUGUCUUAUUUUCCAAACCUAUCACAUCUGCUUUCAGCAUAGCUACAUCCAGGCAAAUUAUUUCAAUGUCCUCUUCCUUACACUCCUUGUCUUUUGGGGUGGACUGGGGACAAAGCUAUAGGAUAGGGGUCAACAAGUUCAAUAUACACACUUGUUCCAUAAGAACUAAAAGAAGGCCCGAUGUGUUCUUUAUAUCAGUAAAGACAUAAAGCAUUUUUUUCUAUACCAGAUCUUCUUAAAAUCUCUUUCUAGCUUUUCCAAGUUUUUGCCCCUGAUGUAUUCAGUUUUCCCUGCCAGUUUUCUACACUUCAUAAUCUGUGCUUUAGAACAAUUGCAACCUUUUUUUUUGUUGUUGUUUUUCUUUCCCCUAGCUGGCAUACAUUAGAUUUAAUAAGAAAUUAAAAAAAUGAGUAUUCUUAUUAAAUUCUUUAACACUGCCUGAGCUCUACCACCAAUCCAGAACAGGCUGCUGCUUCCUCAGAUACAGACACUGGUGCAAAGGUUGAAACUUCACAGCAUUCUGCCUACUAACACUGCAUACCUUCAUUACAGGGGUACUCUCAGCUCCAUCCUUCUUAAUUGCAAUCACUCUUGCAUACCACAGGAGUGACCCAAACUUCUGGACCAGAUCCUGACCUGAGCAUCAUUGCACUGUGCCAGCAGAGAGGGAAGACCAGCCCUGUCUUACAAACAAAAACUUGAAAAGAGUCCUAAACUCAAGAUGUUUACCUCUGCUGCUCCAGCACAUAUUCUGCUGUGUAAGUGCUUGUGAAACACCUGUGCUCUCCAAGGCACACACAGCUGAAAUGAGAACACACGGCUAUCAUUUUGGUCAGCUGAUGCUAGGGAGUUAAGCUCAUAACACUGCUGUGCUACUCUCCAACCUGAUAAACACGACCGAUAGCAGCACCCCGCCUGGAGAGAGAAGCAUCAGCAACAAGUGGCACCAAUUUAGCUAUCUCACAGGGUAACAAGAUGCCUCUUGCUAUUAUUCUGUUCCCUAACAGAGCUAACAAUGAUAAUAGCAUGAAUGAUUGAGACUUGUGCUGGUGUGAACAUGUUAGGAUCUUUUUUUUUUCCUGCUUUAAUUUACAGUCUAAGAAAUAGCAAACUGUUGUGGCUUUGCUCUUUGAAUGAAAAGCUUGUAGGAGAGCUUCCAUGACGGAGGUGUAGGAUGCACCACCUGCUGAAGAUCUGAGGUCUUUCACCCCUUCCCACCCAUAUCUCCUGAAGAAGCUUUGAAGGGAGGAUUCCCUAUUUGUGCAAAGGCUUUAUGCCAAUCUCAAAGCCAAGUGAGUUGUUUUGCUGAGUAUGCAGCCUCGGAUGAGGUGAUUUAAUCACACUGACUGCCAGCAGCAGAGGCUCUGGCUUCCUCUUUCCCCUUCUGGCUGUGCAUUCCCACCACUCACCCUGCA
Long non-coding RNA from Gallus gallus (chicken), 10263 nucleotides. RefSeq lists it as uncharacterized. NCBI's taxonomy places the organism in Eukaryota, Metazoa, Chordata, Aves, Galliformes, Phasianidae. The transcript has 10 exons. The record is from RefSeq and is a predicted model, not a curated record.